AGAGUUUGAUCCUGGCUCAGAGACGAACGCUGGCGGCAUGCUCUAACGACAGUAGCUAGAGUCGAGCGGGCAUCAUGCAACUAUGUCAUGCGGCAGACGAGGUGAGUAGACGCGUGUGGAACGUACCUUUGUCGGUGUGCAGCGAACAACGAGCUAGUGGUAAACUUUGGUUGCCUAAUUACCCGGGAAUCAAGCCCCUUUACUGGGGAAUAGAUUUAUCGCCGAAAGAUCGGCCCGCGUCUGAUUAUGCUAGUUGGUGAUGGUAACGGCUCACCAACGGCGACGAUCACGUAGCUGGUCUGACGAGGAUGAUCAGCCACACUUCGGGACUGAGACACGCGCCCAAACUACCUAUAGGCGACGCAGAUAGUGGGGGAAUAUCUGGACAGAUGGGGCGCAAGCCUGAUCCAGCCAUGCCGCAGUGAGUGACUGAACGCC
This 438-nucleotide ribosomal RNA is filed under the name uncultured bacterium. RNAcentral's name for it is "bacterial SSU rRNA". It matches the Rfam family "Bacterial small subunit ribosomal RNA", at positions 8 to 416 of the family's 1533-position model. The record is from RNAcentral.